RNAcentral lists this long non-coding RNA (1233 nucleotides) under Bos indicus x Bos taurus (hybrid cattle). RNAcentral describes it as "lncRNA (ENSBIXG00005004238.1)". Lineage: Eukaryota; Metazoa; Chordata; Mammalia; Artiodactyla; Bovidae. The record is from RNAcentral.
AUGGCACAUAAGCACAGAGAUCAUCCAAGUUUCUCGUGGACACUGGAGGGGCGAGAUGAAUGGCCCACUGCACAGAGUCAGCCUGAAGGCCCACGACGUCGACACUGUUCCUCCGGCAUUCGGAGCAGCCCUGAAGCUCUCCCAAUCACGCCUGAACCCUGGACCUGGCCUCCAUGCACCACAGCUUCUUUCCCACACCACCGCGUGUAUUUGUGUUCACAUGUGUGUGUACCUGUGUGUGCUGGGGGCCGAGGCUGGCGUGUUUCACCCCCCAUGUUCACGAUCAUGGCAUGCCCCUUCUCUGUGCCUGUCAGCGGUUGGAUGACGUGGGAUGCUGGGGGGUGGUCUCUUCUGAGCUGCUCUUCCCUCCCACCGUCACUCCAUUCCUACCACAGGCUGCCAGAGGCAGACCCACACAUCCGAACACAAAGCCAAACCCCUCCCCAGGGGUCCAGAGCAAAGGUGGAUAUUGUCUUCCUUCUCAGGACCCUGGGAGUGACCACGUGGUGAGGCUGUGCGUCCAGGCCCUGGAGGUUGAGUUACUAACCACUUGGCUGAGACACUGUCUUCAGGCUCCCUUGGGCUCACCAGCUGCUACUCCCAGCCUCACUUCCCGUGGUGCACCUGUGCUUUUCUUCUGUUAAUAUUUGCCCAGUGUCCUUCCUUUGGGGGAACUAUCUGCACCAAUGCCCCUGUCUCGUCUAAUUUAGAUGGGAACUAACCCCAGGGGUCCGUACCCCGACCACACAGGGCACUUGACAACCCCCUCCAAGCCCAUUGGUAGCUCCCUUUUAGUAAAUACUGAGCAGAAACCAGAGGCUGGAGGUAAGUUGGAAUCAGCGCCUGAGAGCCGGCUAACUGCUGAGAAUCCUUUCAGAGUGGGUGGCUUGAUCCUUGCUUUGGUUCUCUGGGGCUUCCCUUGUGGCUCAGCUGGUAAAGAAUCCGCCUGCAGUGUGGGAGACUGGGUUCGAUCCCUGGGUUGGGAAGAUCCCCUGGAGAAGAGGAAGGCUACCCACUCCAGUAUUCUGGCCUGGAGAAUUCCAUGGAUUGUACAGUCCGUGGUUUCGCAAAGAGUCGGACACGACUGAGCGACUUUCAUUUCAGUUUCAUUUGAUUCUCUGAGCUUGGUUCCCCACUCCCCUCCUUCACCCUCCCCCACCCCCCACACCCCCACACCUGCCUCCAGUUAGCAGAAAUCCUUUGCUGUUGUUAAUAAACAAAGCAUCAGAUGCA